This 253-nucleotide ribosomal RNA is filed under the name uncultured bacterium. Its description in RNAcentral is "partial 16S ribosomal RNA". It matches the Rfam family "Bacterial small subunit ribosomal RNA", at positions 524 to 776 of the family's 1533-position model. The record is from RNAcentral.
GACGUAGGGGGCCAGCGUUGUUCGGAAUUACUGGGUGUAAAGGGUUCGUAGGCGGUGUGGCAAGUCGGGAGUGAAAUCUCUGGGCUCAACUCAGAGACUGCUUCCGAAACUGCUGUGCUGGAGUGUGGGAGAGGCGCGUGGAAUUGCAGGUGUAGCGGUGAAAUGCGUAGAUAUCUGCAGGAACACCCGUGGCGAAAGCGGGUUGCUGGGCUGACACUGACGCUGAUGCGCGAAAGCCAGGGGAGCGAACGGG